CUGGAAAGAGGAAAAUUCAACGACAUAAAAUAUGUUGGUCGACUUCCUUCAGCUGCUACAGCCACAGGGUUUUACCAGCUUCAUGUUAAAGAGCAGACUGAUCUUGUGAAGAAAGCUCUUCAACCUGAUCCCAUCACUCCCAUCAUCCCUUAAAAAAAGACAGCUUAAGUUAUAACAGAUUACAACAGAAAAUAAAGAAUCAUGAGAGAAUCUUUGGUUACCAGAUGGUACGACGGAAAUAAACAGAGAUGGUUGCCAUACUUUAGGGCUGCUACAAGCUAAUCUCAUUGAAGGAGUUUGUGUCCUUUAAAACGGAAGAGCUUGUUUUCUUUUUCUUUUUAUAUUAUGUUCGUUACUUCUUCUGUUCUGU
This 370-nucleotide long non-coding RNA is filed under the name Capsella rubella. Its description in RNAcentral is "long non-coding RNA (CRUB_LNC001181)". Lineage: Eukaryota; Viridiplantae; Streptophyta; Magnoliopsida; Brassicales; Brassicaceae. The record is from RNAcentral.